Long non-coding RNA from Oncorhynchus tshawytscha (Chinook salmon), 1169 nucleotides. NCBI's taxonomy places the organism in Eukaryota, Metazoa, Chordata, Actinopteri, Salmoniformes, Salmonidae. The record is from Ensembl.
GGAGGACAGGGUGAGAAGAAGACAGGAUGAGAGGAAGACAGGGUUAGAGGAAGAAAGAGUGAGAGGAAGACAGGUGAGAGGAAGACAGGGUGAGAGGAAGAAAGAGUGAGAGGAAGACAGCUGAGAGGAAGAAAGAAUGAGAGGAAGAAAGUGUGAGAGGAAGACAGCUGAGAGGAAGAAAGAGUGAGAGGAAGAAAGACUGAGAGGAAGACAGCUGAGAGGAAGAAAGAGUGAGAGGAAGACAGCUGAGAGGAAGACAGGGUGAGAGGAAGAAAGUGUGAGAGGAAGACAGGGUGAGCGGAAGAAAGAGUGAGAGGAAGAAAGAGUGAGAGGAGGAAAGUGUGAGAGGAAGAAAGUGUGAGAGGAAGACAGCUGAGAGAAAGAAAGUGUGAGAGGAAGAAAGAGUGAGAGGAAGACAGCUGAGAAGAAGACAGGGUGAGAGGAAGACAGGGUGCGAGGAAGACAGGGUGAUAAGAAGACAGGAUGAGAGGAAGACAGGGUGAUAAGAAGACAUGAUGUGAGGAAGACAGGGUGAGAGGAAGACAGCGUGAGAGGAAGACAGGGUGUUAAGAAGACAGGAUGAGAGAAAGACACGGUGAGAGGAAGACAGGGUGAGAGGAAGACAGGGUGAGAGGAAGACAGGGUGAGAGGAAGAAAGAGUGAGAGGAAGAAAGUGUGAGAGGAAGAAAUAGUGAGAGGAAACAGCUGAGAGGAAGAAAGUGUGAGAGGAAGAAAGAGUGAGAGGAAGACACGGUGAGAGGAAGACAGGGUGAGAGGAAGACAGGGUGAGAGGAAGAAAGAGUGAGAGGAUGACAGGGUGAGAGGAAGAAAGUGUGAGAGGAAGACACGGUGAGAGGAAGACAGGGUGAGAGGAAGACAGGGUGAGAGGAAGACACGGUGAGAGGAAGACAGGGUGAGAGGAAGACAGGGUGAGAGGAAGAAAGAGUGAGAGGAAGACACGGUGAGAGGAAGACAGGGUGAGAGGAAGACAGGGUGAGAGGAAGACAGGGUGAGAGGAAGAAAGAGUGGGAGGAAGACAGGGUGAGAGGAAGACAGGGUGAGAGGAAGAUAGGAAUGAAGAUAGAAAGACUGAGGGGUGGUAAGCAGUGGAACACAUGUAGGAAGCCAAACAUAUGGUUCAAAUUAUGAACCUCAUGCCAUGAAAACCC